GGGUCGUUAACCGUAAUUAACGGCGGAGCAUCCCGCAAUUAACGCCCGUCGCCAUCGGCCGGUGGCCUUAACGCCGGUAUCGCCGCUGGGGGCGGGGCGUCUUCAUCAUCGUCAUCGUCAUCUUCAUCAUCGUCAUCAUCUUCACCUUCAUCAUCGUCAUCUUCGUUAUUGUCGUCUUCAUCUUCAUCUUUGUCAUCUUCGUCAUUGCCAUCAUCUUCACCAGCACCAUCUUCAUUAUCCUCAUCACCAUCAUCAUCUUCAUCAUCGUUGUCUUCACCUUCAUCAUCCCCACUAUUGUCAUCAGCAUCAGCAUCUUCACCUUCAUCAUCGUCAUCUUCAUCAUCAUUGUCAUCGUCAUCAUCUUCAUCACCGUCACCUUCAUCGCCAUCAUUUUCAUUGUCACCUUCAUCAUCGUCGCCUUCAUCUUCGUCGUCGUCGUCGUCUUCACCUUCAUCAUCAUCACCAUCUUCAUCACCAUUGUCGUCAUCUUCAUCAGCAUCAUCUUCAUCACCGUCAUCAUCUUCACCUUCAUCAUCGUCAUCUUCGUUAUCAUCGUCGUCGUCACCAUCUCCAUCAUCUUCAUCAUCAGCAUCACCAAACGCCCCCAACCUCCUGGCAGAGCCUUCGGCCUCGGCCUUCCUCUUCCUCUUCGUCAUCGCUUCCAUCAUCUUCAUCCUCAUCAUCGUCUUCAUCUUCGUCAUCUUCAUCUUCACCAUCAUCGUCGUCAUCAUCAUCGCUGUCAGCGUCAUCCACUGCCCCCAACCUCCCGGCAGAGCCUUCAGCCUCGGCCCUCCUCUUCCUCUUCGUCAUCAUCAUCUUCAUUAUCUUCAUCAUCUUCAUCAUCAUCUUCAUCAUCAUCUUCAUCAUCAUCAGCAGCAGCAUCAUCCAAUGCCCCCAACCUCCUAGCAAAGCCUUCAGCCUCAGCCUUCCUCUUUCUCUUCCUCUUCCUCUUCCUCUUCCUUUUCUUCUUUGUCAUCAUCAUCUUCAUCAUCUUCAUCUUCAUUUCAUUAUCAUCUUCAUCACCAUCAUCAGCAGCGUCAUCCAUUGCCUCCAACCUCCUGGCAGAGCCUUCAGCC
Molecule: long non-coding RNA, 1076 nt
Filed under: Phasianus colchicus (ring-necked pheasant)
Lineage: Eukaryota; Metazoa; Chordata; Aves; Galliformes; Phasianidae
Description: lncRNA (ENSPCLG00000016754.1)
Source: RNAcentral